GACGAACGCUGGCGGCGUGCUUAACACAUGCAAGUCGAACGGAAAGGCCCUGCUUUUGUGGGGUGCUCGAGUGGCGAACGGGUGAGUAACACGUGAGUAACCUGCCCUUGACUUUGGGAUAACUUCAGGAAACUGGGGCUAAUACCGGAUAGGAGCUCCUGCUGCAUGUUGGGGGUUGGAAAGUUUCGGCGGUUGGGGAUGGACUCGCGGCUUAUCCGCUUGUUGGUGGGGUAGUGGCUUACCAAGGCUUUGACGGGUAGCCGGCCUGAGAGGGUGACCGGCCACAUGGGGACUGAGAUACGGCCCAGACUCCUACGGGAGGCAGCAGUGGAGAAUAUUGCACAAUGGGCGGAAGCCUGAUGCAGCAACGCCGCGUGCGGGAUGACGGCCUUCGGGUUGUAAACCGAUUUCGCCUGUGACGAAGCGUGAGUGACGGUAAUGGGUAAAGAAGCACCGGCUAACUACGUG
RNAcentral lists this ribosomal RNA (468 nucleotides) under uncultured bacterium. RNAcentral describes it as "partial 16S ribosomal RNA". It matches the Rfam family "Bacterial small subunit ribosomal RNA", at positions 28 to 507 of the family's 1533-position model. The record is from RNAcentral.